Molecule: transfer RNA, 68 nt
Filed under: Paracaecilius japanus
Lineage: Eukaryota; Metazoa; Arthropoda; Insecta; Psocodea; Caeciliusidae
Description: tRNA-Val
Source: RNAcentral
CAAGAAAUAGCUUAAUUUAAUAAAGCAUUUUAUUUACAUUAAAAAGAUAUAAGAAAUAGUUUUCUUGA